RNAcentral lists this ribosomal RNA (415 nucleotides) under uncultured bacterium. Its description in RNAcentral is "bacterial SSU rRNA". It matches the Rfam family "Bacterial small subunit ribosomal RNA", at positions 505 to 916 of the family's 1533-position model. The record is from RNAcentral.
GUGCCAGCCGCCGCGGUAACACGUAGGGAGCAAGCGUUGUCCGGAUUUAUUGGGCGUAAAGAGCUCGUAGGCGGUUCGGUAAGUCGGGUGUGAAAACUUGAGGCUCAACCUCAAGAGGCCACUCGAUACUGCUGUGACUAGAGUCCGGUAGAGGAGUGUGGAAUUCCUGGUGUAGCGGUGAAAUGCGCAGAUAUCAGGAGGAACACCGACAGCGAAGGCAGCACUCUGGGCCGGUACUGACGCUGAGGAGCGAAAGCAUGGGGAGCAAACAGGAUUAGAUACCCUGGUAGUCCAUGCCGUAAACGUUGGGCACUAGGUGUGGGGUCUCGCUAACAGAUUCCGUGCCGCAGCUAACGCAUUAAGUGCCCCGCCUGGGGAGUACGGCCGCAAGGCUAAAACUCAAAGGAAUUGACGG